This is a non-coding RNA of Trichobilharzia regenti, 47 nucleotides long. The record is from Rfam. Lineage: Eukaryota; Metazoa; Platyhelminthes; Trematoda; Strigeidida; Schistosomatidae.
AUCAAGGUCCUUUUUAGGACCACCUUUUUUAUAGGAUAGUGAGUUAU